UAAAACUUUCAACAACGGAUCUCUUGGUUCCGGCAUCGAUGAAGAACGCAGCGAAAUGCGAUACGUAAUGUGAAUUGCAAAUUCAGUGAAUCAUCGAGUCUUUGAACGCACAUUGCGCCCCCUGGUAUUCCGGGGGGCAUGCCUGUCCGAGCGUCAU
This 157-nucleotide ribosomal RNA is filed under the name Penicillium chrysogenum. RNAcentral's name for it is "5.8S ribosomal RNA". It matches the Rfam family "5.8S ribosomal RNA". Rfam says of the family: 5.8S ribosomal RNA (5.8S rRNA) is a component of the large subunit of the eukaryotic ribosome. It is transcribed by RNA polymerase I as part of the 45S precursor that also contains 18S and 28S rRNA. Functionally, it is thought that 5.8S rRNA may be involved in ribosome translocation. Lineage: Eukaryota; Fungi; Ascomycota; Eurotiomycetes; Eurotiales; Aspergillaceae. The record is from RNAcentral. RNAcentral also lists the same sequence under 1 other name.